AACGAACGCUGGCGGCAUGCCUAACACAUGCAAGUCGAACGAGACCUUCGGGUCUAUUCGCCCACGGGUUCGUAACGCGUGGGAACCUUCCUUUAUGUUCGGAAUAACUCAGAGAAAUUUAAGCUAUUACCGGAUGAUGUCUUCUGACCAAAGAUUUAUCGCCUUUAGAUGGUCCCGCGUUGGAUUAGCUAGUUGGUUGGGUAAAGGCCUACCAAGGCGACGAUCCAUAGCUGGUCUGAGAGGAUGAUCAGCCACACUGGGACUGAGACACGGCCCAGACUCCUACGGGAAGCAGCAGUGGGGAAUAUUGGACAAUGGGCGAAAGCAUGAUCCAGCAAUGCCGCGUGAGUGAUGAAGGCCUUAGGGUUGUAAAGCUCUUUUACCCGAGAUGAUAAUGACAGUACCGGGACAAUAAGCUACGGCUAACUCCGUG
RNAcentral lists this ribosomal RNA (433 nucleotides) under uncultured bacterium. Its description in RNAcentral is "partial 16S ribosomal RNA". It matches the Rfam family "Bacterial small subunit ribosomal RNA", at positions 29 to 507 of the family's 1533-position model. The record is from RNAcentral.